Molecule: small nuclear RNA, 158 nt
Organism: Theropithecus gelada (gelada)
Lineage: Eukaryota; Metazoa; Chordata; Mammalia; Primates; Cercopithecidae
Gene: U1
Rfam family: U1 spliceosomal RNA
About the family: U1 is a small nuclear RNA (snRNA) component of the spliceosome (involved in pre-mRNA splicing). Its 5' end forms complementary base pairs with the 5' splice junction, thus defining the 5' donor site of an intron. There are significant differences in sequence and secondary structure between metazoan and yeast U1 snRNAs, the latter being much longer (568 nucleotides as compared to 164 nucleotides in human).
Source: Ensembl
AUACUUACCUGGCAGGGGAGAUACCAUGAUCACGAAGGUGGUUUUCCCAGGGUGAGGUUUAUCCAUUGCACUCCGGAUGUGCUGACCCCUGCGAUUUCCCCAAAUGUGGGAAACUUGACUGCAUAAUUUGUUGUAGUUGGGGACUGUGUUCACGCUAG